Molecule: long non-coding RNA, 441 nt
Organism: Aphis gossypii (cotton aphid)
Lineage: Eukaryota; Metazoa; Arthropoda; Insecta; Hemiptera; Aphididae
Exons: 3
Source: RefSeq, a predicted model, not a curated record
UCUAACAUGAUAAAAUUAAUUGAACUGAUAUAUAAAUUCUCAACCUAUUUACACGAAAUUUUGUACUUAACAAUAUUUCCAUUUUUUUUUUAAGUUAUUAGUUUAAAGUGCAUCAAAAUUAUACAUGUAAUUAUAAUGCUCGUCUCGAAUACUUCACAAUCACGGAAAGUUUCAAUUUCUUGUGUAGGCGUGCAGCCAUGAUUAUUUUAUGCGAUAAUGUUAUGCCAUUUCCAAUAAUAAAAGCUGACAUAGUGUAUGCUAUCAAAAAACCUACAUGUAACUGUCGUGAACAAUUAUUGCAUAUUUUUCUAAACAUCCCGUAUAGUCCAAAUUUUUUAAUUUAAACGGCGAUUACCUUGGAAAGAUUGUACAGACACAUUAAACAACAAUAAAAAAAAAUAUGUAAUAGAAGAAUCGUAACAAUAUAUCAAUAAUAUUAUA